This is a long non-coding RNA of Coregonus clupeaformis (lake whitefish), 329 nucleotides long. RefSeq lists it as uncharacterized. Lineage: Eukaryota; Metazoa; Chordata; Actinopteri; Salmoniformes; Salmonidae. The transcript has 4 exons. The record is from RefSeq and is a predicted model, not a curated record.
GUCACGGGUCUUUCUAUUAAGAGGUACACAAUUGCGCGUGCGUGAAUUUGCUAGUUGUUCUUUCUUCUUGACCCGCAAAAUUCACUCCGCUCUGGUUUGCUUUUAGCGAAUCUUAAUUUGUCAGAAUGCAGCAAAGCAACACUCCUAGGCCAUCUUAUGGCGCUCCACCACAAAAGAGGUCCAGGAACGCUAAUGGAGGGGCAAACAACAGGAGAAAGCAGCCUAACUUCUCUGCUGACAUAGUGUUCACCACCAAGGCGGGAAAGGUCCAGACCAUCCCCUCCUUGACCAAACAGCUGAAGGCCAUCACUGGUGAGACAGUCAUUGGU